CACGUAGGGUGCGAGCGUUGUCCGGAAUUAUUGGGCGUAAAGAGCUCGUAGGCGGUGUGUCGCGUCGGCCGUGAAAACCUGCAGCUUAACUGUGGGCUUGCGGUCGAUACGGGCAUCACUGGAGUUCGGCAGGGGAGACUGGAAUUCCUGGUGUAGCGGUGAAAUGCGCAGAUAUCAGGAGGAACACCGGUGGCGAAGGCGGCACUCUGGGCCGGUACUGACGCUGAGGAGCGAAAGCGUGGGGAGCGAACAGG
RNAcentral lists this ribosomal RNA (254 nucleotides) under uncultured bacterium. Its description in RNAcentral is "partial 16S ribosomal RNA". It matches the Rfam family "Bacterial small subunit ribosomal RNA", at positions 524 to 776 of the family's 1533-position model. The record is from RNAcentral.